Long non-coding RNA from Equus caballus (horse), 15850 nucleotides. The record is from Ensembl. NCBI's taxonomy places the organism in Eukaryota, Metazoa, Chordata, Mammalia, Perissodactyla, Equidae.
GGGCAAUGAGAAGGGAUUGGAGAGAGGAUGGCCUGAAGAAGUAGCGAAUGGGGGGAGGAGAAACACUCCUCUGACUCAGAACUGGUGAGCAAGAGUCAGUCAUCGGCUUGUGUUCUGGGAAAAAUGGAGGUUCUUCUUUUGAGCCUAGAGAUGAAAAGACAGCCUGGGACCAUAGGCAGAGAAAACUUGUUGAAACUAAGGAAGGCAAUGCAAUGACUUUCCCAGACAUGGGAAUCCCCAGGCAAGGCAGACACAAUCCAGCCUGCAGCAUCGUCCAGCUGGGACAGGGGUAAUAUCUUCGUGAUCUCGUCUUGGCAUUAGAUCGACGCUGACCUUUCUAGACGUCUUCACUGACCAGGAACUGUGGAAGGGGUUCUCUCGCUCCUCAUCCAUGCACAACGGCGGCAGCUGUAGCAUCAUGCUGCAGGACCUUGUGGAAAGGAACCAACGACUGCGCCUUUUUCUGUUGAAACUCGUCUCUGCAGCCUUGCUCCACAAAGCAUGGAACAGUGUCCUGGAGCAUCGCUACCAUCUGGUAGCUUAGGAAGCUCAUCAGAUGGAAGAAUCUCCAGUAUAUUCUAGACCCACUGAGUCAGUCUGCAUUCGGGAUGUAUGGGUGCCUUGUACACGUUAGAAUUUGCAAAGUGUCAUCCAAAACAUGGAUUACCUCUCAGAAUCCAAACUCAAACAUCUUCCAAGCCUCCUUCUCCAUGAGUUCUUUGCAGGAUCUGCAGGCACAGCUGUCAGCAACCCAGCGGAGGUCCCCAUUCUCAUGGAGCUUAAGAGCUGGUUGGGGGAACUAGGUGUUAGCAGAUGCCGACUCCAGAGGGUGUUCGACAGAUGCCUUCUGAGGUAGGUCCUCGAGGAGCAGAGCAGUCCUGGGUCUUCAGGGAAGUGGCUCCGAGAGUCGUGAAUCAGGCUGACCCUACAGACGGCGGCACUCAGUCAGACUACAUCCACUCCCACAGGGAGCUAAGGGAUGGUGGAGAAGGCUGUGUUUUUCAACAAAGUUUGAAGAGACAGCUUUUUAAUUUCAAAAUACAAUUGUUGCACGUUUAAAUUUUCUCAAGGGGAAGGAAAAGCUCCAUGAAGCGGUGUUUGGUAAAACAUCUUCCAUGAUCCCCUCCCCACCACCCUACCCUGGCGGCUGUGGAGUCAGAGUGAGCAUGGCUCCCUGCUUUCCAUCCACGGGGGAUGCAAGGCCAUAGACAAGUGUGUCUUCUGGCCCCAGGACUCUUGAAUAUUUUGGCACAUUUUCACUGUCUCUGGGAAACAAGCCUAAUGACACACUCAGUAGAGAUUGUCAAGCGCAUUAUAGAGACAGGAUGGAAUGCAAAGUAAAGUGUGCUUUCCCGGGCCAGCUCCUGGGAACACGACUCGAAUAAGAAAUUCCUGGUGAGAACUGGCCUUUUCCCAUCUCUCCUUUUUCUUUAGCAUUCUUUGCUCACUCUUCAACUAUUUAAGACUAGAUUAUAACAACGUUCUGGUAAAUUCAAGACAUACUUUGCAAAGAGUGCAAACAAAAUUGAACUUACUCAUCCUUCAGCAGCCAUGGGUAUCAAAUUUUUGUCUGGCAAAUCAUAAUAAUUUUAAAACAAAUUAGACAUCUUGGUUCUCCCAUUUCCUUUCUCAGACUGACAAAUCAUUAAAAAAUUCCUUUGAAUAGACUGCUUUAAAAUAUUCUUCUGAUAAGCAGGGGUCUCCUCCUGCCAGGCACCACCAGGCAAGUCACCCACCGCCGGCGCCUUGCGGGCGCCAUGGGCCACACGCAGCAAUUUCACUGUGGGCUCUCUGUCUUGGCUUGGGCCAUUACUCCGGACUUCGUUUUUGCUUAAACUUUCCAUUUCCUAUUGCCUGUGACGACAUAUCAUUAUUUACCACCUAUGAUUUCUAGUUUGUUCAAAAUUCCUGUGGAGGUGAGAGGGAGUUAAUGGGUGUAUUUAGGGACCUAACAGAAGAGCUGCUUCCUCCUGAGCCUCCGUGGGGAGCUGGGGGUCCUUGACUUUAUGCUGUAGACCAAGAUAAAGCCAUUCACACAGCCCAUGUGGCCUCAUUAAGAGCAUUUUAUCAGUUUGUGUGCCAGAUGAGGAAACGCUUCUGAUGUGACUGGAAAGUAAUAAAAUUUGACUCUUAUUCCCUAAGAUUGGGAAUAAAGAGAAAGAUAGCUGACAAAGAGAACAGUAAAGGCCAUCAGGUCUGACACAACCUAAAAAUAGAGAAAUGGUCAUUCUGAGGACCAGCUUGAAGGGCCGGAGGCACUGCUCAUGGAGGAAGCCGUGUGCCAGCUGGAAGGAUCAACCGUGAUAGAUUGUAUGAGGACCCAUGGAGGCCCUCUUAAUGGAAGAGCUAUGUGACCUCCAUCCCACUCUUAAUUGUAGCACGUUCUUGGCUAUUGACAGCAUCACAGCUUAAGUGUGGGAGGCUGGCUCGAAAGGCCAGUCUGGCCCAUGCAGGGUCUGCUGGAUUCGUCUCUGAGUUUGGAUGCUGGAGCCUUGCCCUGGUCCUCGGUGUCAUGGCGACUGCUCGGCGUUCACCCUGAAUGCUGACCCUAUUGGAAGGUCUCCCCUACUUGCUGAAAGCUGAAGGAGCCCAGUCCACACAGAUCUUCAGAUCCGCCGUAACAUCCUUAUAAGAACAUACCCUUAAAUCCCAUGUUGAAAUCAUUCCUAGAUUUCAUUUUUGGGUGUGGAAUAUUGAUAAUUGAUUUACUCAUUUCAGAAAGGGACCGACUCCCUCAAUCCUGGCAGCCUGUGGCUUUUCACCCAUGCUCACAUGGGAUCCCCCUCAUGUGGGUGACUUCAUCGCUGUUAUCAUCACAAUACCCAGUUAGUAUUAUCUGUGCCCAGCACUGUACCAACCACAUCACCCCAGACUUCAUUUUCUCUUCACAGCUCCUCUCCGGCGUUGGUCCACUGAGUUUCACUAAAUCAUGGAUGAGGAACUAAGGUACAGAGUGGUUAGUUAACUUGCCCGAGACGUCGCAUUUAGUCUGUGCUGGAUCCUAAACCUGAGCUCCCGUUUAAGGAGCAGUGCCAUGCAGCUCAGGGACUUCUGCCUCUGGCUCUCCUGGAAGUCUGCGCUCAGCUCUUACUCAAAUGUGGGAUCUGAGAAAGUUCCCCCACUUCUCUGAGCUUCAGUUCCAUCAUCAAGGAAGGCGGAACGAUGAUAGAACCGGAAAAAAUCUACGUGAAGUCAUUGACACAGAACCUGGCACAUGGGAUGCACUCAGUGGAUAUUCUCCACCAUUCUGCUCUGCUCUGCUGUCUAUAAAAUGCUUUUGUGACCUAUGUCUAUACUAGGUAGCAGAUAGAUAGCGAUGAAAGAUAGAUAAUAAAUAGACAGAUAGAUAGAUAGGUAAUUUUACCCUCCCCUCCUUAGCCAGACUGGAAUCAUAAGGGCCAAGGAAUAUUACCUUUGUUUAUAUUCCCACACAUGAUUUCUGUACUUACUUCUCAGGAAAUGGGUAAUGGGUAAAUGUAUUUUUAUCUUCUUACUGAUUACUAUCUCAACUAUCUCAGGCUGGUUAUGAAAUACUUUCUACAUUAAGGAGGGCCUCGCUGCAGGACUGCAGGCCUACUGUGAGGUGCUGGAUUUGCCCCAAAGAGGACUGCAUUAGUCAGGUUCUCCAGAGAAACAGAACCAACGGGAUGUAUAUGGACAUAUAUAAGAGGUGAUUUAUUAUAGGAGUUGGUUCACGUGGUUAUGAAGGCUGAGAAUUCCAUGAUAUGGGGCCUGCAAGCUGGAGGCCCAGGAAAGCUGGUGGUAUAACUCAGUCAGAGUCCUAAGGCCCAAGAACCAGGACCACUGAUGUCUGAGGGCAGGAGAAGAUGGACAUCCAAGCUCAAGAAGAGAAGGAGAGGAAUUUGCCCUUCCUUCACCUUUUUUGUCCUACUGGGGCCCUCAAAGGAUUGGAUGAGGCCCACCUGCAUUGGUGAGGACGAUCUUCUUUACUCGGUCAUCUGAUUUAAAUGUUUCCAUCCAGAAACACCCCCACAGCACACCCGGAAAUCAUGUUUAAGCAGCUGGCUGGGUGUUCCUCAAUCCAGUCAAGUUUACACAUAGAAUUGCCUUCACAAGUACUUAGUAGAGCGUGGCUGAUCAUGACUCCCUUGGAGAGCCACCUGUUUCUGGUGGUCAUUAACACACAGUAAUCAGGUCAUCUGUGCAGUCUGAACCUUUACCCUUCAAACGGCCUCAACUGGGAUUUCCUGGGUCUUCUUUAAGGAUGAAGGAGGGGAGCCCACCUUGACCAACCCGCAUUGCAUCAGAGCAACGUGAACGCCAGCACCAAUGAGCCAGCCUCCAACCUGUCAAGACUUUUCGAGAUUUUAAGUUGAGGACACAGAAAUAAAGCACGAGAAUAUACAAUAAGGGUAUUUUUUUUUUUAAAGAAAAGGGUUUAUAUCUGAAGACACAAGUAAAAUGCUACACUUUGACUCUUCAACCACUUAAAUUUUAAAUAUACAAGGAAAAUUGGCAUCGUUUUAGAUCCAAUUUAUUCUCCGUGAACUUUGAGCACAUCACACAGUGAAACUAUCCCCUGGGCCUGCACUGAGUCAAUCUCCUCCUUUUAAGUAUUGAGCUAAGAAAGCAUGAGAACCCAAAAGAACCCUUUCAGAAUCAACCAACAGUAGAAGGGGCUUUGGUAAGAAAAAGUGAGCCAAAAAUGAAUAAAGUUGAAUGUAAUACCCACUAAUGAGCCAAAGGCCUUAAGUCUACAUGAAGGCAAAGUAGAAGGACACUGACAGGAGUACACCAGCGUUGGCCUGGCCAUUGGGGACAUUUUUAUUAAUAGAUCAGAGAAGACUUUAAUUUGCACCAACUGACACACUAUGAAAUGAGUAUUGGAUGAGGUAUCUCUAAUUCCGUAAGAGAACACAAUUUUUAGGAUCCUUUUAAGUUAACGUAUUUGCAUCGACAAUCAUACCUCUUUGUGAACGUGUAACACCGAAAAGAAAAAAUAAUUUAGAAUUCUUACUUCCAAAAUUUGAACAUGAUUAAUUUUUAUUAAUAUAGGGGCUUAUAAAGUAAGGAAUAGAUUUCUAUUAUUUUUAAAAACAAGCAAGAUUUAAGCUGAGAUCCUGUCAUGAGUUAAAAACGCAAUAGGACGUUGGAAAGGCAGACCCCGUUUCUCUAGCCGGAUGCCCACUUAUGUUUCGAGGGGCAGCACCCAUGGCUGGCGUCACAUGGCUUCUUGCAAGCGUCAGCCUGUUCUGAUGCAUCUGAAGACGCACCUUUUCCUUUAUAACCACUGAGUUGUUUGUUAACAUUUAUCCAUGUCUCAUAGGUGUGCAGGCCACCGAGCCAGGCCCAGGGUCAGUUCUCUGCUUUUUAUUUAAAGACAGAUAUGAGAAAUGAAUAGAAGAGUUUUAGAAAAUGCAAUGCUAUGCCUUUUCUCAAACAACCUGAAAUCUUGACGAGUCACAUUUUAUAAAAAAUAAGAAAGCAACCCUAAACCACAAAUCUCAUGAAUUUAUAGCAAAUGCUCUUCUAAACUCCGUAAUUGGAAAAUAGAGCAGUUAUUUCUACUGAGUAACUUUCAAAAAGCAUCAGUAGGAAGAUCACUAAUAUGUCAUUUAAGUGGAAGAAUAAACAGUGUUUUGUUUCUCACAGCCCCCUGGUCAUCAUUCAGUGGGCUUCCCAGUAGCUCCUUCUAGCUGUGAGGUCAGUUUGCCCUUGGCCCCCACAUCUUCCUCUGAUGGUAAUGCCCCUUCCCUCUGACACAUCGGUGUCUGAGUCGAGUUGUAGGUAGAGGGGUUUCUAAGAAGGGUUGUAACAGGAUCUAACACAGGGUCCCCUGAGAUGGGAGGAGAGAAUGGAGAUUCCUCUCCUAGCACUGUAUGUGGCUCAGAGCACUCAAUAACUGUCAGCACUGGUCCAGUCCCACAGCUGUUAGAUGGGGACACAGGCUCCGAGAGGCCCUGGUUUGGCCAGGGUCACACGUGCCCACUGCUGCCUCCCCUGCUUGGGCAGCUGUCAUGUGGUGGAAGGAACCACACAGCCUGUGGCCACUGAGCCACUUUAUUCUUCCAUUUGUCUCUGCGACUCACGAUAGCACACCACGAAAGAUCAAAGAAAAUAAGUUAAAUAAAAAUACAGCCCAUGGAUUCCUUUCUGGAGAACGUUAUGUGUAUUCUUCCUGUGCCUUCAGAGACUCCUGUUUGCCAUGUUAAUCUUUCCCCACUUUUCUUAGAAAAAUAUGGUGCAGGUGCCCGUGCAGAUGGAAGCUGCCUGGAGCAGGUGAGCUGCAUGUUUGAGAAUCAGCCCCUCCCAGGUAGGAGCCCUGGCACUCCUCAGGACAGACACUUAGGCUCCAGGACCUCAAGGUUGGGGGAAAGACCAAAUCUAAACAUUGCUGGUGCUACAACUACCACCACCCACCCCUCCCAGAGAGACCAGGCUUGAGUCCUUCUGGGUCAGCACGCCCCCUGGCUGUGGGGUUUUGUUCUGGAUCCUGUGGAUCGGUUCAUAGCAUGGCCCUUUGCCGGCCGUGUCCUCUUCAUGUGGUCAGCCAGUGGGGACACGCACCCUCCUGGUGGCCUGCCUGGGGCUCUGAGAAUCUUGGAUCACCUUCAAAAUGCACUCAAAUCAUUUUUGGCUCCUUCCUGUGUUCAGUCAACACAAAUAAGCCUUGGAAGGCCCAGCACGGUGUGCCCAGCUGUGCAUCAGAGGAAAGUUGAUAAAUAAAUACGAUGCCACCACCGGAGAAAAUGUCCAAAUUGGUCAGAAAGACCAAGAAAUAGGAAAGUGUGAUAAAUUCUGUUUGUGAGUGUACAAAGUAAAAGGCACAGCUCAGGAGGAAGCAGCUCCUCAUAAAGUGACAGCUGUGAGGAUGUUGAAACUGUGAGGAGAAGAGGCUCAGGAGGGUGGGACUGUGGGCUCCUGCGGGACUGUGGGAAGGGGGGUUCUGUGGAGGGCUGGGAACACAAGGGAUGUGCAUGGCUGAAGGAUGGUCCGUGGCGGCCACACAGAAUCGGACACAAUUGCAUUUGCCCUGGUUCUACUGGUUAAUGGCUGUAUGACUCAAGGAAAUAAUAUGACCCCUCUGGGCCUCCGUGUCUUCAUCUAUGACUGGAAAUACAAAUGCCUACUUGCAGUUGGAUGUAAGGACUCAAAUGGGAAGCACUUGGCACAGCAGUCAUGGCGGCAGACAGUGUCAUUCGAUGAGUGGUAGCGAUAGCUGUCAUUGCUUCACCAACAAACCUGCAUGUGUUUACUUCUGUUGAAUGUAUUCAUGGUUCCAGGUGCUCAGAAUUUAUCAGUUAAAAUAUCCAUAAAGAUCCUGGGUAGAAUUCCCUGUACAGUUUACAUUCUACAAGCAGAAACAGCCAAAGAGAAUAAACAUAAGUAAGCAAACUGCACGGUAUGUUAUUAGGUGGUGAGUGCCUUGGAGAAUCCUUUCUGGGGGGAGGAGGAGAGAGAGUGCGUGAGGAGGUGCUGGAGAGAGUAAAUGCACCAUCAGGGGAUGCCUUCCUGGGAAGGGGAUGUGAGGAUGUGAGAGGCAGCCAUGCGCACAUCUGGAGGAAGAGAGCUGAGACAGAGGAGAAGGGAGUGAUCGAGUACGGUAAAUGCUGCUUGUAGAUCAAGAAAGAUUAAGUCUGAAACUAAUCAUUGGGUUUAGCUAGGUCACGGCAUUGGCAGCAGUGAGAGGAGCAGGUUCAGUGGGGUGGUGAGGCUGGAAGUCUGGACUGGGGUAAGAGAGGAUUGAGGAGAGAAACUCGUGAUGGCAAGAGGACAUAGCAGUUCCAGGAGAUUCACUGCAAAGGGGAGGUGAGAAAUGGGAAGGUAGCUGGCAAGAAAGUGUGGUCCAAAGGAAUGUUCUGUUCUGUUUUGUUUUGAUUGUGUCUUAAAAUGGGACAGAUAACAGCAUGUGUGCUUGCUGAUGGGAAAAAUCCAGCAGAAAAACAAUGAUGCAGGGAAAAAAAGCAGAGAUUUAUUGGAGGAACACUGUUGAGAGGGCAAGAUGAAAUAGGGUCUCAUGCACAAGGAAAGGGAUCUGCUUUUGAUCAGGACAAGGACACUUCAUCAUGGUUAUCAGGGAGGAAGGAAGGAUUCAGGGGUACAGAUGCUGUGAGAUAAGUGGAUAUGACAGUGGGAGCAGGUGGGGGCUUUCUCCAGAUUUCUUCAAGUUUCUCAGAGAACAGGAGAGUGGCGCUGGCAGCUGAGAGCGAGGAUGAGGUCAGAACGGCUGUAGACUGAGGAGAGAGGAGAAAGCACAAAGUAGUAACCUAGGAAAUUGGGAGGGUGAAUGGACAAGGGAGAUGGAGUCUGGCCAAUGGGUGGCGCUGAGCUCCCUGCUGGGGUUGGCGUUUAUGCUCCAGGGUUUUGAGAGCUUUUCACCAGCUGUGGUCAGUCGCAUAAUUGCAGACAUGGAGUUGGAAGAGAGAGUGGUUUAAUCAGAGUCCUGAUUUAACCAAGCAAGUCAACAAAGCAAGAGAGAUCCAAAAGCGUUGAGAUUGCAGGAAAGGCGGUGUUUCACGGAAAUUAAAUAGGGUAAGAUUGGGAGACUGGACAUCAGGAGGAUGGGUGACUGACCCCAAAGUGGUGAUAAGGGUCAACAGACCAGAGGUCUCAGUAAGACCAAAGGAGUGUUGGCACACCUGACCAGAGGGAAUGAGCUGGAAAUAUGGGGGACGGGUUGAUGACUGGGGCACAGAAACUGAGAUUGUGAGGGGGCUGUAGCUGUUGACAAUGACAAAGAUGUGACCAUGCAACAUAGUGCUGAGGCAGCUGGAGGACAAGACGCUGAGUCCAAGAAAUUGAAAGCCAGGGUAUUAUAAAGAGGAUGCACGCGGUUAGUGAAACUGCCAAGAAAUUUUACGAGUCAGUAUUGGGUGGUCACAUGGGUUGUUAUUCUUUCUAGCUUAUUGCUUUAGCAGAUGUGAAAGUCCCCUCCCUCACAGUGUGUCCCGUGGGGUCACAGAGAGGAAGGUGGGGGAGUCCCAGAAAUCAACAUCUUUUGUGGACUGAAUUGUAUCUUCCCCAAAUCCAUAUGUUGAAGCCCUAACUCCCAUUGCUACUCUAUUUGGAGAUGGGGCCUUUAAGGAGGUAAUUAAGGUCAAGCGAGAUCAUGAAGGUGGAGCCCUGAUUCAAUAGGGCUGGUGCCCCUAUAAGACGAGGAAGCACUCUCUCUCUCUUUCCACACACGCACUGAGCACAUGGAGAAAAGGUGGCCGUCUGCAAGCCAGGAAGAGAGGCCUCACCAGAAACCAACACCACUGGCAUCUUGAUCUUGAACUUCCAGCCUCCAGAACUAUGAGAACAAAUGUCCCUGGCUGUGGUGUUUCCUUACGGCAGCCCGAGCCAAGUCAGCAUCUCUCUUUGAUCCCUGACUUCAGGUCACUGACUUGGGUUCUCUCUUCAGUUUGGAUGAUUAACUACUCCGAACCUGUAAUUCAGACCACAGGCUUCAGAAGACCUUGGCUCUGGAGAGAGGGAAAUACUCACCAAAACAACCAAACAACCAUGCUCCAGCUCUCCAGGUGCGGCCAGACCACCCUGAUGGUGUGAAGCAUCUUUCGACUCUCUGGCUAUUGAAUCAGGAAGAGUUGUGAACGAGUGCCACUCUGAGGUCGUACAGUGUGGACACCACAUGCUGCAGCUUCCGUCUGAAGCUGAGCUGGACUCGGAUCCCGGCUCCUCUCCUUCCUAUCUUGUGACUUCUGAGAACACGGCUUUUCUUUCUCAAUUUUAAGAUCCUGGAAGUGGGAGCACCUGUCUCGUUAACCUCAUAUGAAGAUGAAAUGAGAUGGUAGGGGGGUAACUUCUUGUCACACACAGGGCCUGGAAUAUUGCAAACCCUUUGUUUCAUUGGGAUACAGGCUUGGCUGGUGUGACAAGGGCACCAAAAAUGCAGAUUCCCAAGCAAAAUAGAUGGCUAGUUGUCUCCCACAUCAUUAUCCCCAGGAAGACAGCUGGUCCCCCAGUGGGUGGGCAGUUCUGCUUUACCAGGUCAUCAGGGUACCAAGUUUGUGUUCUGACAUUCUUCAGCAUGCGAUUCUCAAAGCUGCUCGUCAGCAUCAUGCCCAAAUUCCAGUCCACAGGAAGAGGAGGCGAAUUGAGCACAGACACAGAGGACCAGCACGUUGCUUUUACAUGUGUAGACAUGACACACACUUCUGCUCAAAUCGCAUCUGGAAGAAAUUAACCAACGGUCCCACUUAGCUGCCAGGAGGCUAUGACGGUGGUGGUCACAUCUCUGCUAAAUUCAGGUAGGAGGCAGAGGGGGAGGGUCCCAUGACUACAAGGAAGGAGGGAUAUCCCAAGACAGUUAUUCAUCUUGUUAUGGAUAUUUAGAAAUGUUGCACACCUGUAUUUCUUACUUUUCUCAUUACAAGGUGAUUCAUGGGAGAUGUCCAAGAACACAAGUACAUUUUUCUCAAAACACAGUUCUUUUCUUGGAGAAUGACUCAGACACUUCCUCCCAGGGACACGAUGCUGUGGCUGGUGCUCUGUUCUUGUUGUGAUCUUAGGAAAGUCUACAGAAAAGGUGCAGCCGAGAGACUGCUCCUUUGUAACACGCAGUAGCAGAAAGUAUACCAAAGGAAAGGACAUCAUCAACACCCACGACCAUAUCUUGUCUUUGCGUUACGGAUUCUGGGAGCUUUUGUGGACUUCUGGAAAAACGAUCACUAUUGCUGGAUUCUUUUUUUCAAUGGAAAAUAAUUAACGUUAAUUGCUAAACAACUUCCCGACAUUGGUAGCAUGAUUCAGCUCUGAAUUUCCAGGAGCCAUUAUGAGAAUUGGGUAGACUCUUCUCUUUGAAAACUUGCGUUAGUUGUGGAUUCCUUGCUUCAGACAGAAUGAACCUUGUCUAAUGGUGCUGAGUCUCCAACCACUGCACGUUUUCAAACGUUGACUAAUUACCGAGGGUGUAAACAGUUUUAAUGACCCGUUGGCCAAGGUGACCUCUGAACUUCGGUAGUUCAGGGAUGUCUGUGUCUCCUAAGGUAUAGUCUGAAAACUCUUGCAAGCCUGCUAGGAACAAAGACUUCCCAACAGCAUCCUGGCUUAUGAGUAUAAAUCCUCAGCACUCUCCACAGGAGUGUGACAUUACUGAAUAAUCUGUCACCUUCAAACCAGCCACAAAGAAAGUUCCAGGCUGUCCUUUAGAAAGAGGGUCAGCAGAACAAUUGCUUUGGGUUAACUUUGGGUUUGGAGUGUUGCAAACCAUCCAUUAUCUGUUAGACUGUGAUUUUAAUUGUCCAUCAUCUGUGUUUGAGUUUGUAUAGCUUCACACUGUCAAAGCUGAUGGCUGUGUUUUUCCUCUUUCUUUUUGGAGGUCCCAAGAGAGUCAGUGGGGAGCGUGGCUGUCUGAGCCCACAUCCCCCAGCGGAUGCUGCUCUCUGCUCUCGGCUGCCUGGUCUCCAGCGGCUGCCACGUUGCUAGAACUUCUGGCAGCAGGAGGUUGAAACCCACGUCUGCUGGCGCCAGUCCCAGAGCUACAGGAAGUCUCCAAAUGUUUUUUUUUUUUCUUAACAGACAAAAAAAUUUUUGACUCGGGAAUGAUUUCCAGGAAUUACAGUAUGAGAUCUUAGUCUGUGAGAUUUUAAUUUUCUUCUUAAGAAAAUCAAAAUGAAAUCAACCAGACUGAACACACCACGGGCGGGCACAUUUCACUUUGUAACGAACAGUGAACGUUUUCCCCUUCACCUCCCUCGGAGCGGGAGGAUGAGUUUAAUAGCUUUUCCUCAGCGGAGAGCGAGAGGAGGGAGGUAACGCUGGAUCAGAGGGGCAGGGAGGCCCUGGGAAAGGCCAUUUCUCUGCUUUCUUCUCAGAGCUCUGUCGCUGCCAGAAGGUUCUGAGCAUUGCCCCUCCUCUUCUCUCUCGAGAUCAUGGUCCUCCCUCAGGACGAGCGGGAAAGGCUCAGCAAGCCAUUCAGUCCUCAGGGAAAGUUCCGUGCUGCCUUGAUCAGGAAGGAGAUGGGGAUGGGGCUGUCCAGGUGGUGUCAGGCUCAGAGGAGGCAGGGCCUUUGGUACGUGUCACACCCACGAGGAAUCUGAGAAACCCACACGGUCGCCUGUCACGUUUCCGUCUCUGACUGACCCUGUGUGCAUUCAGAGUCGGUUAAAGGAGCUCGGUCCAUCUGGUCAUCAAUGAUGACGUGGUCUCUGACUGUGACUUCAGACAGGUGCUGUGCCCUCUGAGGACAUCCCUAUCAGGCCCGUGGGGUGAAUACACUGGCCUCACUGCUUUGACACGAAUCUGUGAACACGUGAGACCCAAGAUUAGCCCUGAGCUAACUGCUGCCAAUCCUCCUCUUUUUGCUGAGGAAGGCUGGCCCUGAGCCAACAUCCGUGCCCAUCUUCCUCCACCCUACAUGUGGGAUGCCCACCACAGCAUGGAUGGUGUGCCAAGCGGUGCCAUGUCCUCACCAGGGAUCCGAACCGGUGAACCCCAGGCCGUGAUAAGCGGAACACGUGCACUCAACCACUGCACCACCAGGCUGGCCCCUAUUAACACGUUUUUAAUUGGAGGAAAAGCCAUGGAAGGUUAGCUUGGGGAUGGUCUCAGUGAUAACAAUGCUGAGUUGUUGACCCAGUAUCAUGGCCUCGGGUUGCCUGUCCCCAUCUGCUUCCUUGGAGGCCAGAGCUUCAGCUCCUCUGUCUGCAUCUUAAGUAAAGCUGCUCCCCUCCCCUUGCCUUCAUGUUCUCCAGCCCCAGCUGGUCCUGCUGGCUCUCACCCUCACUCUCUGGAGCCUCGAGGUCUAAGCUGCAUGGCAGAUAUGAUCACGGAAGCGGAAGCUGGUUUUGAGAGAAAUGAUAGAAAGGCUGGCACAUUGCUACUGAUUGUCUGGAGGCCAUGGAGAGAAAAAAAGGUGAAAGAUGUAACAUAACCUUGAACUUGAGAACUUGGAGGGGUGGGAGGCUGUGUCCCACUGAACAGGUCUUGGAAACAGAAGGUCUUUUCGUGCAGGAAGAAUAAAAAGCUGUUGACUACUGAGAAGCCACCUUGGCAGCAGCCACAGAUGCAGAGCAGAGCCAAGUGACAUGCAGUCGAUGUAUAAAAGAAUUCGUGGACGUUUUAUGUAAGACUAUCCCAUUUCCGCUGAUGAUAGAGGCACGCAAAGAGGCAGCUUACGUUGAAGACUUCAUUUUAGAAUCCCUUGGCCAUCUUUUCUCCAAAUCUGAAAUCCCUUUCCUUUCUGGAGCAUACCCAAGGAGAAACUCCUAAUGAAUCGUAUCAUGUGCUGUUCUGACUCCUCGCCACGAAACACAAAGAUCUCUUGUAGCCACGUGUACAGAUGGUGGUUAAUUCAGGAAAUGAAGAAAGACAGCUUGCUCCUGCUACGGUGAAUAAUGUCUUUGUUAUUUCAUUUCUGAAGGAGGCAGAUUAUUCCAUUGUGUUUUGAUGAAAUAGAUGAUCUUUCCACUUUUAUGAGAAUGAAAUAAACAAUUCUGGGGCUUAAAAAGUCUCCUGUUUAUAUAUCAGUUUCUGCCGAAGACUUUGAAGAAGUGGAUUGCGGGGUGUGGUAUGUCUCUCCCUGCCCUCUGCAAACACAGGGCCUGCGUUUUUCCUGGGGUGAAGAGCCCCAUGGCUUCACUCUGGGGUCCAAUUCAGAAUGCAGGCUUUAACUCUUCAGAGCAACGAUCUCCUGUGUGUGUAGAAGGCUUCCAGGACUUGUAAACAUCUUUCUGCGUCAGCACCAGGGCUGUGGGCACAUGUGAAACUGUGGUUGAUCCUGCCUGUGGAUUGCAGAUACCAGAACAAAAUAGAAUAUUCUGUCUCUUAUGGAGAAUCCGCUGUUCACAUUUUUGUUUAGAAACCAAGUUUUGGUUUGGUUCAGUGAUUCUAAAGCAUUUCAGAGACAACAACUGCCAUGAAGUAUGAGCUUGUGAUCCUUACUCCUUCUGAUGUAGCUUAAGGUUUCUCCCCUUCUUUAUGGACUAUGAUUUUGCGUAUCAUUUUAAAAUGGGAUAAGCAUAACAUUUAGGAUUAAAUUGCUGAUUAUUUACAUACGUGGCUUAGUGAGAGUAUCUGAGAUGGGGCUUGUUUAGCAUGAAUUGUCUCAGUUCAUGAUUCCACCUAUGAUUGUGUAGUGCAUUUAUUCAUUUACUAACAAAUCCUGUACCACUUUCACUUUUAAGUUAAUUAACAUAUAUUUAUUCUAGGAAAUGGGGAUAUAGCAGUGACCCAACCAGGCAGAAUCUCGUUACUGUAGAGUUUACUUUCUAGUGGGGAGAUACAUGAUAAAAACAUAUGUAACAUGAUAUCAGGUGCUACCAUAGAGAAAGAGAAAAUCUGGAGGUGGGGCAGAGAGAACAGACAAGGACAUGUUGCUUCAGGAGAAAGCCUGGUCCAUGGGGACCUGAGCCACAGGAGGAAGGGAGCCAGCCACCUGCAUGGGUGCAAACCCCUGGGUGUAGGCCCUGAAGGUGGAUGAAUUAGAUGCAGAAACUUAAACCGUGUCCUAUCAUUUUACUUUAUUUUUUUGAGGAAGAUUAGCCCUGAGCUAACAUUUGUGCCCGUCUUCCUCUAUUUUACAUGUGGGACACCUGCCACAGCUUGGCUUGCUAAGUGCUGCAGAGGUCCACGCCCAGGAUCCGAACCAGCGAACCCCGUGCCACCAAAACGGAGCAUACUAAGUUAACCUCUAUUUGACUGGGCCAGCCCCUAAACCAUGUCUUAUUAUUAACUUUGUGCUUUGCAUAAGCAAUCCUGAUGUGUUAUCAUAAGAUUUAUUGAUUUAUUUUUAAAGACUGGCCCUGAGCUAACAUCUGUUGCCAAUCUUUGUUGUUUUUCUUUCCUCUUCUCCCCAAAGCCCCCCAGUAUAUAGCUGUAUAUUCUAGUUGUGGGUCCUUGUGGUUGUGUUAUGGGGGACGCCACCUCAGCAUGGCUUGAUGAGCGAUGCCAUGCUUGUGCCCAGAAACCGAACCGGCAAACCCUUGGGCCACCGAAGUGGAGCAUGUGAAUGUAACCACUCAGCCAUGGGGCCAGACUCCAUCAUAAGAUUUAAACUCUAUUUCCUAUAAAACACAAAGAAAAUAAGUUCUAAACUGACAUUUUAAUAAAAACCAACUCCAGAAGGUAACCCGCUCUUCCUUCCUGAAUAUAUUGCCAUGACUCUCCUGCAAGAUGAAUUCUCCACUUUUAAAUCUAACACAAAAUGGAGAAUAGAACUGGGGAUAAAUUCCUGUUUGCCAAUAAAUGAAAAAUUCAUAAUUUUGUUUAGAAAAAUCUGCAUUAUGAAAUUCCGGUGUGCAAUCCAGUAACCAUGAUCCCCAGCCCCAGUGUGAGAUCAGCGGGUAGAGACGGAAAGCAUGCAGAGGGCCCUGUGACUCCCUGUGCGAGAGUGCAGCAGGACCUGACCAGGUGGGAAGCGUUUUCCAGAUCGCUGUGACCUGGUCUGCCUGGUGGAGAGCAAACGCUAGAAGAAAUAUUUACAGAGAUACAGGGAGAGACUAUACGUGACUUACCCCAGUGAAGUAGUUACUUCCACUUGGUUGGGAUUUAGAAUCAUUUGUGGGGAGAGCAUGCUGUAAAAGACAACACAUAAAGAGUUUUAGGAGAAGAUGUCCAUUUCUUUCAAGAUGUUUUGAUUCUUUGUAACAUAGAGGCUGUCUAGGAUAUCGUCUUAAUUUCCUCUUUCAUCUUUAGAAUUAAAAUACCUUAAAGAGAAUAGUGACAGCUGAUAGACCCAGCUGCAUGACUCUUAAUGGUUAGUCUCUGCCUUAUUUUCCUAUUCUUUCCACAGCUGGUCCCAGUAGCUUUAUAAACCUCUUAGCUCUCUCCUUAAAGUGUAAUAGUAAAAGCGAUGUUUGUCAAUUGAAAUGUGUUUCUUCUGAUCAGCUAAUUCAAUUCAACUUCUUCAAAAUGUGAAUUUAAUAAAAUGUAAAGUAUCUAUUACAAA